AUAAUAAGAAAUGGCCAAACUGUCCCCCCCCCCCCCAAUAUUUGAAAUUCUUGCACUGAUCUGAUGCACUCCAUGCAGUGCUCUGGUUUUAGGAAGACAAAACAUUUAUAAAGUUACAUUUUCGGCCUGGCCUGCUCAGGAUAACAGUGCUCAUCAAUGUCAAAAUGUGACCCUGGACCAGAAAACCAGUCAUAAGGGUCACAAGUAACUGAGAAGGCCUAUCAGAUCAAAGCAGGUGGGCUUUACUGUUCACAGAAGCAGAGCACAAAUUCAGCACAAUUUAAUGUUGAAAGAGAGCGAGGUCCCCGGAGACGCUCACGCUGGGCCGCUGUCCGUGAUGCAUUAAUCAUGUCCGAAUCCUCAAGACAAAGAGCCACGCGUUUCUCGUCUGCAUGUGAAAUGAUGCGACGCGGGCCUGCCACGAGGUUAAACUCUCAAACGUGCUCUUUGAUGGGCUUUAAUGAGAUGUCAGCGCCCAGACGGAUUUCUCUGCUGUCCCGUAAAACAGGCCACGGAGCACGAAGCCGCAUCUCUGUGAUCUGCUCAAAAACACACCUAGAUGUGUCGCAACACUUUCACACAAUCACCGCGUCAGGAGUGUGACGUCUGUCAAGCAGGAUUUAAGUUGAGUUUAUGCAAAGAGGCACCCCAGACAGCAAGCAGUUUCGGUCCAGAUCCGGCCCACAUCCGGCCCCCCAUGGAUUUCACACAGGCCAGAUGUGGGCCGGAUCUGGGCCAACACUAUGUUGUUAUCUGAGACUAAACUGAAAGCCCUUUCAGAUCAGAACCGUGAGUCAAACCUGCUUCAUACUCAUCAACUUCU
Cyprinus carpio carpio is the source of this 823-nucleotide long non-coding RNA. Lineage: Eukaryota; Metazoa; Chordata; Actinopteri; Cypriniformes; Cyprinidae. The record is from Ensembl.